AUCUUGCACAAUGGGGGCAACCCUGAUGUAGCGACGCCGCGUGAGCGAUGAAGGCCUUCGGGUCGUAAAGCUCUUUUCCAGGUGACGAGGAAGGACGGUAGCCUGGGAAGAAGUCUCGGCUAACUACGUGCCAGCAGCCGCGGUAAAACGUAGGAGGCGAGCGUUAUCCGGAGUUACUGGGCGUAAAGCGCAAGCAGGCGGUUGGGCAAGUUGGGUGUGAAAGCGUGCGGCUAAACUGCACGAGGCCAUUCAAGACUGCCCGGCUGGAGGACGGUAGAGGGGCGCAGAAUUCGGGGUGUAGCGGUGAAAUGUGUAGAGAUCCCGAGGAAUACCAGUGGGGAAGCCGGCGCCCUGGGCCGUACCUGACGCUGAGAUGCGAAAGCGUGGGGAGCGAACGGG
This 399-nucleotide ribosomal RNA is filed under the name uncultured bacterium. RNAcentral's name for it is "bacterial SSU rRNA". It matches the Rfam family "Bacterial small subunit ribosomal RNA", at positions 361 to 776 of the family's 1533-position model. The record is from RNAcentral.